GACGAACGCUGGCGGCGUGCUUAACACAUGCAAGUCGAACGGAAAGGCCCUGCUUUUGUGGGGUGCUCGAGUGGCGAACGGGUGAGUAACACGUGAGUAACCUGCCCUUGACUUUGGGAUAACUUCAGGAAACUGGGGCUAAUACCGGAUAGGAGCUCCUGCUGCAUGGUGGGGGUUGGAAAGUUUCGGCGGUUGGGGAUGGACUCGCGGCUUAUCAGCUUGUUGGUGGGGUAGUGGCUUACCAAGGCUUUGACGGGUAGCCGGCCUGAGAGGGUGACCGGCCACAUUGGGACUGAGAUACGGCCCAGACUCCUACGGGAGGCAGCAGUGGGGAAUAUUGCACAAUGGGCGGAAGCCUGAUGCAGCAACGCCGCGUGCGGGAUGACGGCCUUCGGGUUGUAAACCGCUUUCGCCUGUGACGAAGCGUGAGUGACGGUAAUGGGUAAAGAAGCACCGGCUAACUACGUGCCAGCAGCCGCGGUGAUACGUAGGGUGCGAGCGUUGUCCGGAUUUAUUGGGCGUAAAGGGCUCGUAGGUGGUUGAUCGCGUCGGAAGUGUAAUCUUGGGGCUUAACCCUGAGCGUGCUUUCGAUACGGGUUGACUUGAGGAAGGUAGGGGAGAAUGGAAUUCCUGGUGGAGCGGUGGAAUGCGCAGAUAUCAGGAGGAACACCAGUGGCGAAGGCGGUUCUCUGGGCCUUUCCUGACGCUGAGGAGCGAAAGCGUGGGGAGCGAACAGGCUUAGAUACCCUGGUAGUCCACGCUGUAAACGGUGGGUACUAGGUGUGGGGUCCAUUCCACGGGUUCCGUGCCGUAGCUAACGCUUUAAGUACCCCGCCUGGGGAGUACGGCCGCAAGGCUAAAACUCAAAGGAAUUGACGGGGCCCCGCACAAGCGGCGGAGCAUGCGGAUUAAUUCGAUGCAACGCGUAGAACCUUACCUGGGUUUGACAUGGAUCGGGAGUGCUCAGAGAUGGGUGUGCCUCUUUUGGGGUCGGUUCACAGGUGGUGCAUGCCUGUCGUCAGCUCGUGUCGUGAGAUGUUGGGUUAAGUCCCGCAACGAGCGCAACCCUUGUUCACUGUUGCCAGCACGUUAUGGUGGGGACUCAGUGGAGACCGCCGGGGUCAACUCGGAGGAAGGUGGGGAUGACGUCAAGUCCUCAUGCCCCUUAUGUCCAGGGCUUCACGCAUGCUACAAUGGCUGGUACAGAGAGUGGCGAGCCUGUGAGGGUGAGCGAAUCUCGGAAAGCCGGUCUCAGUUCGGAUUGGGGCCUGCAACUCGACCUCAUGAAGUCGGAGUCGCUAGUAAUCGCAGAUCAGCAACGCUGCGGUGAAUACGUUCCCGGG
Molecule: ribosomal RNA, 1343 nt
Filed under: uncultured bacterium
Lineage: Bacteria
Description: 16S ribosomal RNA
Rfam family: Bacterial small subunit ribosomal RNA
Source: RNAcentral